AAGGUAGUGGUGGCUCUGUCCUUGUAAGUUUCGGCCUUACUAUUAAAAUUAUAUAUUUUCUACUAUU
Molecule: transfer RNA, 67 nt
Filed under: Meghimatium bilineatum
Lineage: Eukaryota; Metazoa; Mollusca; Gastropoda; Stylommatophora; Philomycidae
Description: tRNA-Arg
Source: RNAcentral